GGGCUUGUACUGGUUUCGACAGGGAUCUCGAAGAUGGAGAAGCUAUCCGUAGGCUGAUGCGUUAAAUCGCAAACUUAAAAUUAAACGCUAACGAUAAUUUCGAAUUAGCUGCAGCCUAAAUGCUGCAUGUCAGCCCUGAAGCACUCACACUUUAGGAAUCUGGCACCGACUAUGUGAGAAACGAUGACGGCAAAGCUUUGAGCUGUCAGGCGUAUUAUGAAGCUACUAAACCCGUAAGGAUGUUAGUUUUCGUACGGCAGAGGGAAUGUCAAAUAACUGACUAUGAUAGUAGAAGUACAUGGGACAGGUUUUUGGACGCGGGUUCGAUUCCCGCCAGGUCCACUU
This 345-nucleotide transfer-messenger RNA is filed under the name Mediterraneibacter faecis. RNAcentral's name for it is "Standard tmRNA". It matches the Rfam family "transfer-messenger RNA". From Rfam's summary of the family: Bacterial tmRNA, also known as 10Sa RNA or SsrA, is named for its dual tRNA and mRNA-like properties. Its role is to liberate the mRNA from a stalled ribosome. RNAcentral also lists the same sequence under 3 other names. Lineage: Bacteria; Bacillati; Bacillota; Clostridia; Lachnospirales; Lachnospiraceae. The record is from RNAcentral.